AUGAGUCGCCACCGAACGCCGUGCACCAUGCUCCGCGCUGCUGCCUGCGAUGCCGCGUGCAGGAGCGCGCACCGCCGCGUGUCCUGCUGGCUGUCGACCACGGCCGCCUGCCGCCCGCGCCUCGCCGGGCGCUCCCGCGACCGCGCUCGCUGCACGACGCGCGCCCCGCCGCCUGCCUGCCUUUGCUGCAAUUACUUCAGGCUAUGGAUUGCGAUUAAUAGGAUUCAGGUUCAGGGGAAUACUGAAGACACAUUUGCCUGGCGCUUGUCACCGUCAGGCUGCUAUUCUGAAGAAUCCAGCUACAAGAUUCUAUGUCAGAGCAAGGAGUGUUUUUGUCUUGCUAAUGCUAUCCGGAAGAGCUAUACAUCAAUGAAUUGUAAAGUUUUCAUCUGGUUUUCUCUCAAGUACAGGAUAUGGAAGUCUGACCGCAGGGUUUCCAGGGGCCUACAGGCGACCAUCUCGCCGUGUUCUCUCUGUCUUCAGGAGGAUGAAACAACGGACCACAUGCUUGUUCAUUGCGUGCUCCCAAUCCCUCAAAUACAAUGCUUGAAUGGUGGCACACUUCUAGACUGCAACUCCAAUUAUACUCAUUUGGUUGACCCGUUGCAACGCACGGAACACGAGGGCCGCGCCCCAUCCCUCCACCGCCGCGUCCCUGUCCCUCUGCUCGCCGCCGCGCGCCCCAUCCCUCCGCCGCCGCGCCCCCGUCAAUCCUCUCCUGGUGCCCGUCCUUGCUCCGCCGCGCCGAAUCUGGACGAGAUCGGGAGAAUUCGCCGCAUCUCGCGCAUCUGCUCGUCGGCCAUGCGGGGAGGACGAACGAGCUGCUCGUCGGACAUGCAGGGAGCACGGACGAGCUGCUCAUCGGCGUCCGUCCCACAGCCCCGCUGA
RNAcentral lists this ribosomal RNA (888 nucleotides) under Triticum aestivum (bread wheat). Its description in RNAcentral is "partial small subunit ribosomal RNA". Lineage: Eukaryota; Viridiplantae; Streptophyta; Magnoliopsida; Poales; Poaceae. The record is from RNAcentral.